RNAcentral lists this ribosomal RNA (587 nucleotides) under Alcanivorax borkumensis. RNAcentral's name for it is "bacterial SSU rRNA". It matches the Rfam family "Bacterial small subunit ribosomal RNA", at positions 57 to 635 of the family's 1533-position model. Lineage: Bacteria; Pseudomonadati; Pseudomonadota; Gammaproteobacteria; Oceanospirillales; Alcanivoracaceae. The record is from RNAcentral.
GCAAGUCGAGCGGAAACGAUCCUAGCUUGCUAGGAGGCGUCGAGCGGCGGACGGGUGAGUAACACGUGAGAAUCUGCCCAUUAGAGGGGGAUAACCUGGGGAAACCCAGGCUAAUACCGCAUAAUCCCUACGGGGGAAAGCAGGGGAUCUUCGGACCUUGUGCUGAUGGAUGAGCUCGCGUCGGAUUAGCUUGUUGGUGAGGUAAUGGCUCACCAAGGCGACGAUCCGUAGCUGGUCUUAGAGGAUGAUCAGCCACACCGGGACUGAGACACGGCCCGGACUCCUACGGGAGGCAGCAGUGGGGAAUCUUGGACAAUGGGGGCAACCCUGAUCCAGCCAUGCCGCGUGUGUGAAGAAGGCCUUCGGGUUGUAAAGCACUUUCAGUAGGGAGGAAGGCUUAUCCUUAAUACGGAUGAGUACUUGACGUUACCUACAGAAGAAGCACCGGCUAAUUUCGUGCCAGCAGCCGCGGUAAUACGAAAGGUGCGAGCGUUAAUCGGAAUUACUGGGCGUAAAGCGCGCGUAGGCGGUUUGCUAAGUCAGAUGUGAAAGCCCCGGGCUCAACCUGGGAACUGCAUUUGAAACUG